CUACGGGGGGCAGCAGUGGGGAAUAUUGGACAAUGGGGGCAACCCUGAUCCAGCCAUGCCGCGUGUGUGAAGAAGGCCUUAGGGUUGUAAAGCACUUUCAGAUGUGAGGAAAGGUGUGUGCUUAAUACGUACAUACUGUGACGUUAGCAUCAGAAGAAGGACCGGCUAACUCCGUGCCAGCAGCCGCGGUAAUACGGAGGGUCCGAGCGUUAAUCGGAAUUACUGGGCGUAAAGCGCGCGUAGGUGGUUUCGUCAGUCAGAUGGGAAAGCCCCGGGCUUAGCCUGGGAAUUGCACCUGAUACUGCGGAACUAGAGUACGAUAGAGGGGAGUGGAAUUUCCGGUGUAGCGGUGAAAUGCGUAGAGAUCGGAAGGAACACCAGUGGCGAAGGCGACUCCCUGGAUUGAUACUGACACUGAGGUGCGAAAGCGUGGGGAGCAAACAGGAUUAGAUACCCUAGUAGUC
This 464-nucleotide ribosomal RNA is filed under the name uncultured bacterium. RNAcentral describes it as "partial 16S ribosomal RNA". It matches the Rfam family "Bacterial small subunit ribosomal RNA", at positions 339 to 795 of the family's 1533-position model. The record is from RNAcentral.